UUUCCGUAGGUGAACCUGCGGAUGGAUCAUUCAUAAUAAAGUGUUUUAUGGCACUUUUUAAAAAUCCAUAUCCACCUUGUGUGCAAUGUUAGGUCUCGUCAAUCUUGGCGAGAUUUUUAUACAUCAACUCAUUCUUUAACUAAUUUGUCUGAAAAAUAUUAUGAAUACUUAAUUCAAAAUACAACUUUCAACAACGGAUCUCUUGGCUCUC
Molecule: unclassified non-coding RNA, 211 nt
Filed under: plant metagenome
Description: partial contains small subunit ribosomal RNA, internal transcribed spacer 1, and 5.8S ribosomal RNA
Source: RNAcentral